Molecule: long non-coding RNA, 561 nt
Organism: Dalotia coriaria
Lineage: Eukaryota; Metazoa; Arthropoda; Insecta; Coleoptera; Staphylinidae
Exons: 2
Source: RefSeq, a predicted model, not a curated record
AGUCGUGCUCAGCCAGCAACACACUCCUAGGUUACCUGCUGCCUAGGUGCACUACUGCAAUAACUAUAGUACUCACUACCAGCAAGUGAGCCAACAUACGAGGACACGAGUUUGGUGUUACCAUUCCAAGAGACUGUGAAGAAGAUGAAGAAAACAGGAGUGUAAGAGAAGAACAAACAUGCACCUUGGUGAAUUAUAAAAACGAAAAGACUGAAGCCUGGAGAGCUGUAUAUUAAAUGUUUAUGACUUUGACUAAGGCUAUCAAACAUUUUUCUUUAGUGAUAAGAAAGCACUCGGCGGAUUUUAAUGAGGUGGCGCCACCAAUACUACAACAGACUACUAACAACAUAACCACAAUUUAAACUUUGAUUGGGAUAAAAUUAUAAACAAAAAUAUUAUGUUCAAGACUCAUGUAAGUCUAAUACUUACACUGAGCUGAGUGUUGAAUGUGAAAUGUAAAAGUAGAAAGGAAAAGCGUAUCGUGCGUCUGGAAUACUAAAGUGACUAGACUUCCUAGAAUCCAGACAAAGCUAUAAAUAAAUGUCUCAAUCACAACACAAA